CACGCCAUGGGACCACCCGCACACAAUCACUACUCACACUCCCAUAAAUGUGCCCUCACCUAUGAUUCAAACUCUUACUCAUUUGUGAAGGGUUCUAAUGGGGAUUCGGCUACCAAUAGACCACGCAAAAUUUAUGACACUGUAAUAUGUAGCAGCAUAUUGCAAAGCAAAUUUGUAUACACCGAUCCGUGGCGAUUUUUCACUUUAUAACCAUACAUCAAGAUUUGAUCUCCUCCAUGCAUUCAUUACAACACCGCAUUAUUCGAUUUUUCAGCAUUUGGUAAUACAGAUGAUGCCAAGGACAAGCUUAAAAUGAUUCAGUGGUUGUUGAGGGCCCAAUAAAUUGAUGAUACAAGACCUGUUUGUUCCAGUUUCCAUUUUUCUUGCAGGUCCAGCUCAUGCCCAAGUCCUCUGGUCUCACACUCACUGUACAGCAAAAUCAAAGAUUUUGGUUAACCUACCAUGACAUCAUGCAUCAAAAUCCAGACAAACAGAGUGGUUAUAGUGUCCUUUCAAGAUCAUGUUCUUGCUCAGCUCAUCAUCAAUUUGGCAAUUGGAAUCCACAUGUUCGUAAUUCUUUGCUGGUAUAAAAUUUUUUUAAUGUUAUGAUGUUGUUACCUUUGUAUUAUAGAAUUAUUUUCUUUCUUUACUUUUGGUUUAGCUCUUUUCUUUUCUCUGGUUAUCAUCUUUCUUGUGAUUCUUUGUGACUCAAUGUCUCCAUUCAAGGCAGUAAAGCUUGUCCAUAUUAUUGAUUUUAUUUUAUUUAUUUUAUUCUGAUAGAUGGUAUCCAUUUUGUGUGAAUGAUUCAGAGUUAAAA
Molecule: long non-coding RNA, 817 nt
Organism: Dioscorea cayenensis subsp. rotundata (Guinea yam)
Lineage: Eukaryota; Viridiplantae; Streptophyta; Magnoliopsida; Dioscoreales; Dioscoreaceae
Exons: 2
Source: RefSeq, a predicted model, not a curated record